GGGAGAGAAAUCGCUUUGGAAUGACACGAUCACUCCCGUUGAGCGGACAGCCAAGAAGCCAUCGGGAAUAUCGUGUCCGUCCAAAGCUCUUUCGGGGCCUCCC
This 103-nucleotide microRNA precursor is filed under the name Ornithorhynchus anatinus (platypus). RNAcentral describes it as "microRNA oan-mir-425 precursor". Its record names the gene oan-mir-425. The stretch from base 8 to 92 matches the Rfam family "mir-425 microRNA precursor family". Lineage: Eukaryota; Metazoa; Chordata; Mammalia; Monotremata; Ornithorhynchidae. The record is from miRBase by way of RNAcentral.